AUGCUGAAUCCAUGAUAUACAAAUCCAUUAUCUUCAUGGGGUUUUUUUGCACAGAUCUUAGUUCAUCAGUUGCGUGCUUUGGUUUAUUAUCACUGUAAUGUAGGAAGCUUAAACUAUGAUCUAUGGAUCCAUGAUCAUCAUGGUUUUUCUUGCACAGAUCAUAAUUUAUUGGAUAUGGACUUUGGUUUAUUAUCAUUGCAAUGUAGAUAGCUGAAUCCAUGAUCAUCAUGGGUUUUUUUUUGUUUGUUUUUUUUGCAGAGAUCUUAGUUUGUUAGUUGUGGUCUUUGGUUUAUUGUUAUUGUAAUGUCAGAUGCUGAAUUUAUGAUCUAUGGAUCCAUGAUCAUCUUGGGUUUUUUGCACAGGAAUUAGAUUAUUGGUUGUGGUUUUUGGUUUAUUGUCAUUGCAAUGUAGUAAGCUGAGCCUGUGAUCUAUGAAUUCAUGAUCAUCUUGUUAUUUUUUUUGCACAGAUCUUAGUUUAUUAGUUGUGGUCUUUGAUUUAUUGUAAUAUAGGAUGCUGAAUCCAUGAUCUAUGAAUCCAUCAUCAUCUUGAGGUUUUUUUUUUUGCACAAAUCUUAGUUCAUCAGUUGUGCGCUUUGGUUUAUUAUCACUGUAAUAUAGGAAGCUGAAUCUAUUAUCUAUGGAUCUGUGAUCAUCUGGUUUUUUUUUGUUCUGGUUGUUGUUUGUUUGGACAUCUUAGUUUACCGGUUGUGGUCUUGGAUUUAGUGUCUUUGUAAUGUAAGUAGCUGAAUCUAUGAUCUGUGGAUUCAUGAUCAUAUUGGUUUUUCUUGCACAGAUCAUAAUUUUUUGGACAUGGACUUUGGUUUAUUUUCAUUGCAGUGUAGAUAGCUGAAUCCAUGAUCAUCUUGUUUUUUGUUUUGUUUUGGGUGGUUUUUUUAUUUUUAUUUUUAUUUUUUUUCAGAUAUCUUAAUUUAUUACUUGUGGUCUUUGGUUUAUUGUCAUUGUAAUGUUGGAUGCUGAAUCUGUGAUCUAUGAAUUCAUGAUCAUCUUCUUAUAUUUUUAGCCCAGAUCUUAGUUUAUUGGUUGUGGUUUUUGGUUUAUUGUCACUACAAUGUAGGAAACGAAAUCUAUGAUCUAUGAAUUCAUGAUCAUCGUGCUAUUUUUUUUAGCACAGGGCUUAGUUUGUUAGUUGUUGUCCUUGGUUUAUUAUCAUUGCAAUGUGGAUAGCUGAAUCUGUGAUCUAUGAAUCCAUCAUCAUCUUGGUGUUUUGUUUUUUUUUGUUGUUGUUGUUUUUUUCUUCAGAGAUCUUAGUUUAUCAGUUGUGGUCUUUGGUUUAUUAUCACUGUAAUGUAGGAAGCUGAAUCUAUGAUCUAUAGAUCCAUGAUCAUCUUUUUUUUGUUUUUUUUUUUUUUUUUUUCACAUGUAUUAGUUCUUUGGUUGUGGCUUUUGGUUUAUUGUCACUGCAGUGUAGGAAGCUGAAUCCAUAAUCUAUGAAUUCAUGAUCAUCGUGCUAUUUUUCUAGCAAAGGCCUUUAUUAGUUGUGGUCUUUUGAUUAUUGUCAUUGUAAUGUAGGAUGCUGAGUCUACAAUCUAUGGAUACAUAAUCAUCUUGGGUUUUUUUAGCAGAGAUCUUAGUUUAUUAGUUCUGGUCUUUGGUUUAUUGUCAUUGCAAUGUAGAUAGCUGAAUCCAUGAUCAUCUUGUUAUUUUUUUAGCACACAUCUUAGUUUAUUUGUUGCGGUCUUUGGUUUAUUAUUGUUGCUAUGUAGGUAGCUGGAGUUAUGAUCUAUGAAUUUAUGAUCAUCUUGUUAUGUUUUUAGCACUGAUCUUAGUUUAUUGGUUGUGGUCUUUGUGUCAUUGCAAUGUAGAUCGCUGAAUUUAUGAUCUAUGAAUCAUAAUCAUCCAUGAGCAUCUUGGGUUUUUUUUAGCACAGAUCGUAGUGUAUUGGUUGUGGUCUGUGGGUUAUUGUAAUGUAGGUAGGUGAAUCCACUAUCUAUGAAUCCAUGAUCAUCUUGAGUUUUUUGUUAUUCUUGUUUUUUUUUUCCUUUUUUUGCACUGAUCUUAGUUCAUAGGCUGUGGUUUUUGAUUUACUGUCAUUGCAAUGUAG
Long non-coding RNA from Gallus gallus (chicken), 2062 nucleotides. NCBI's taxonomy places the organism in Eukaryota, Metazoa, Chordata, Aves, Galliformes, Phasianidae. The record is from Ensembl.